This 65-nucleotide transfer RNA is filed under the name Bulinus globosus. RNAcentral describes it as "tRNA-Ile". Lineage: Eukaryota; Metazoa; Mollusca; Gastropoda; Planorbidae. The record is from RNAcentral.
AAACAACCGCCGGUUGAACGGAAAUCAUUGAUGUUGAUUAAUAAGAAAAUUUAUUUCGUUGUUUA